GGAGAGGUGUCCGAGCGGUCUAAGGAGCACGACUGGAAAUCGUGUAUACGCCCAAAGCGUAUCGCGGGUUCGAAUCCCGCCCUCUCCGCCA
This 91-nucleotide transfer RNA is filed under the name Gammaproteobacteria bacterium. RNAcentral describes it as "tRNA-Ser". It matches the Rfam family "tRNA". Rfam says of the family: Transfer RNA (tRNA) molecules are approximately 80 nucleotides in length. The record is from RNAcentral. RNAcentral also lists the same sequence under 2 other names. Lineage: Bacteria; Pseudomonadati; Pseudomonadota; Gammaproteobacteria.